GCGAGGAUAACGAGGCAACCACUCUUUGAAGCAACGUAGGAGAGACGAUGGACCAAAUCAAUAAAGCUUUGGAGAUAUUCAAAACAAAUGGAGGAUGGCUUGUUUGGACACAAGUCAGUUCUUGGAAGGCUUGUCCAACCUUUUACGCGUUAUCACAGCUACCUCCAGUAUGGAAAACGGGAUAUGCUGAUCUUCUACUUUGAAGGAUAUCUGAGCUGAUUUUUGGAAUAUAAGAGAGGAAUGUCAGCAUAAAAAAAUCUUGGCAGGCAAUGGAAAGAACAUAUUUUCAAGCUGGAUAAACUUGAUAAAUACGCCACCCUGAUGUUGCAUCCGAUAGCAACUUCAGUUCGAAUGUAUCCAAUGAAAAGACAUCCACAAAUUCUUGAAGUCUAGAAGGCCACAUAUGAAGGAAUAUCGAGAGAUUCAAGCCAAUUGAAACGCUUCGGUGCCCAUCUAUACAUUCCCAAACCUUG
Molecule: small RNA, 473 nt
Filed under: Histoplasma ohiense
Lineage: Eukaryota; Fungi; Ascomycota; Eurotiomycetes; Onygenales; Ajellomycetaceae
Description: hypothetical lncRNA
Source: RNAcentral